GUGCUCACUUUGGCAGCGCAUGUACUAAAAUUAGAAUGAUACAGAGAAGAUUAGCAUGGCCCCUGUGCAAGGAUGUCACACAAAUUCAUGAAGCAUUCCAUAUUUUU
This 107-nucleotide small nuclear RNA is filed under the name Prolemur simus (greater bamboo lemur). The record is from RNAcentral. Lineage: Eukaryota; Metazoa; Chordata; Mammalia; Primates; Lemuridae.